GGGGCGGGGCCUAUACAUGCAGUCGACGCGCAGCGAGAGGUGCUUGCACCUUUCAAGCGAGUGGCGAACGGGUGAGUAACACGUGGAUAACCUGCCUCAAGGCUGGGGAUGACAUUUGGAAACAGAUGCUAAUACCGAAUAAAACUUAGUAUCGCAUGAUAUCAAGUUAAAAGGCGCUACGGCGUCACCUAGAGAUGGAUCCGCGGUGCAUUAGUUAGUUGGUGGGGUAAAGGCUUACCAAGACGAUGAUGCAUAGCCGAGUUGAGAGACUGAUCGGCCACAUUGGGACUGAGACACGGCCCAAACUCCUACGGGAGGCUGCAGUAGGGAAUCUUCCACAAUGGGCGCAAGCCUGAUGGAGCAACGCCGCGUGUGUGAUGAAGGCUUUCGGGUCGUAAAGCACUGUUGUAUGGGAAGAAAUGCUAAAAUAGGGAAUGAUUUUAGUUUGACGGUACCAUACCAGAAAGGGACGGCUAAAUACGUGCCAGCAGCCGCGGUAAUACGUAUGUCCCGAGCGUUAUCCGGAUUUAUUGGGCGUAAAGCGAGCGCAGACGGUUGAUUAAGUCUGAUGUGAAAGCCCGGAGCUCAACUCCGGAAUGGCAUUGGAAACUGGUUAACUUGAGUGUUGUAGAGGUAAGUGGAACUCCAUGUGUAGCGGUGGAAUGCGUAGAUAUAUGGAAGAACACCAGUGGCGAAGGCGGCUUACUGGACAACAACUGACGUUGAGGGCUCGAAAGUGUGGGUAGCAAACAGGAUUAGAUACCCUGGUAGUCCACACCGUAAACGAUGAAUACUAGGUGUUAGGAGGUUUCCGCCUCUUAGGUGCCGAAGCUAACGCAUUAAGUAUUCCGCCUGGGGGAGUACGACCGCAAGGGUUGAAACUCAAAGGAAUUUGACGGGGGACCCCGCAACAAAGCGGGUGGGAGCAUGUGGGUUUAAAUUCGAAAGCAACGGCGAAAGAACCUUUACCAGGGUCUUGGACAUCCUUUUGGAAAGCUUUUUAAGAAGAUAAGAAGUGGUUCUCUUUCGGGGAGACCAAAGGUGAACCAGGGUGGGGUUGCAAUGGAUCGUCGUUCAGGCUCGAUGGUUCGAGAAGAUGUGGGGGCUAGGUUCCCGCAAACGAAGGCGGCAAACCGUUAAGUAUG
Molecule: ribosomal RNA, 1145 nt
Filed under: Leuconostoc citreum
Lineage: Bacteria; Bacillati; Bacillota; Bacilli; Lactobacillales; Lactobacillaceae
Description: bacterial SSU rRNA
Rfam family: Bacterial small subunit ribosomal RNA
Source: RNAcentral